GAUGAACGCUAGCGGCAGGCCUAACACAUGCAAGUCGAGGGAGGAGCUUUCGGGCUUCGACCGGCGUACGGGUGCGUAACGCGUAUACAAUCUGCCUUUCACAUAGGGAUAGCCCGAAGAAAUUUGGAUUAAUACCUAAUGGUAUAUAGAGGUGGCAUCACCUUUAUAUUAAAGCUGAGGCGGUGAAAGAUGAGUAUGCGUUCUAUUAGCUAGUUGGAGAGGUAACGGCUCCCCAAGGCGACGAUAGAUAGGGGUUCUGAGAGGGAUAUCCCCCACACUGGUACCGAGAUACGGACCAGACUCCUACGGGAGGCAGCAGUGAGGAAUAUUGGACAAUGGUCGGAAGACUGAUCCAGCCAUGCCGCGUGCAGGAAGACGGCCUUAUGGGUUGUAAACUGCUUUUGCAGGGGAAGAAUAAGGACUACGCGUAGUUUGAUGACGGUACUCUGCGAAUAAGCAUCGGCUAACUCCGUGC
This 475-nucleotide ribosomal RNA is filed under the name uncultured bacterium. RNAcentral describes it as "partial 16S ribosomal RNA". It matches the Rfam family "Bacterial small subunit ribosomal RNA", at positions 28 to 508 of the family's 1533-position model. The record is from RNAcentral.